ACAUUUUCGUGUGCUAUAGUCCACGCCUUCUGCCGUGGGCCCGGAACCCUAGAUCUGGAUCGCCUAAUAAUUUUUUAGGACAUCAAAUACGACCUAAGGAACCAUGGUCACCGCCUCGCUUGAUUAAAUUACAUUUUUUGGCAUUUUACGGCCAUAAAACUGGAAUUUCGCUCGAUUCCCAUAUUUUUGUGUGCUAUAGUCCAUGCCUUCCGCCGUGGGCCAGGGCCCCCGGAUCCGGAUAGCCUAAUAUUUUUUCGGGACAUUAAAUUCUAAGCAAUGAUAGUCACCGCCCCUCCAUGACCAAAUUACCUUUUUGGCAUUUUACGGCAAUAAAACUGGAAUUCUGCUCGAUUCCCAUAUUUUCAUUUGCUAUAACCCACGCCUUCCGCAGUGGGUCCGGGCCCCCGGAUAACCUAAUAUUUUAUUGGGACAUGAAAUACGACCUAAGGAACCAUGAUCACUGCUUCGCCAUGACCAAAUUAUAUUUUUCGGUGUUUUACGGCAAUAAAACUUGAAUUCCGCUCCAUUCCCAUAUUUUUGUGUGCUAGAGCCCACGCCUUCCACUGUGGGCCCGAUCUCCGGACCAUGAUCGCCUAAUAUUUUUUUGGAACAUCAAAUACGACCUAAGAAAAAAUAGUCACCGCCCCGCCAUGACCAAAUUAUAUUUUUUGACGUUUUACGGCAAUAUAACUAGAAUUCCGCUCGAUUCCUAUAUUUUCGUGUGCUAUAGCCCACGCAUUCCGCCGUGGACCCAGGUCCCCAGACUCGGAUCGCCUAAUAUUUUGUUGGGACAGCAAAUAUGAACUAAAGAACCAUGGUCACCGCCGCGCCAUGACCAUAUUACAUUUUUUGGCGUUUUACGGCAAUAAAACUUGAAUUCCACUUGAUUCUCAUAAUUUCGUGUGCUAUAGCCCACCAGACCAGGAUUGCUUAAUACUUUUUCAGUACACCAAAUACGACCGAAAUAAUCAUGGUCACCGCCCUACCAUGUCCAAAUUACAUUUUUUGUCAUUUUAUGUCCAUAAAACUGGAAUUGCGCUCGAUUCCUAUAUUUUCGUAUGUUAUAGCCCGCGCCUUCCGCCGUGGGCCCGGGUCCCCAGACUCGGAUCACCUAAUAUUUUUUUGGGACAUCAAAUACAACGUAAGGAACUAUAGUCACUGCUCCUCCAUGACAAAAUUAAAUUUUUUGGCAUUUUACGUCUAUAAAACUGGAAUUCCGCUCGAUUCCUAUAUUUUAGUGAGUUAUAGCCCACGCCUUCCGCCGUGGGCCCGGGUCCCCGGACUCGAAUCACCUAAUAUUUUUUCGAGACAUCAAAUACAACCUAAGGAACCAUGGUCACUGCCCCUCCAUGACCGAAUUAUAUUUUUAUUGGCAUUGUACGUCCAUAAAACUGAAAUUCCGCUAGAUUCCUAUAUUUUCGUGUGCAUAACCCACGCCUUCUGACGUGGGCCCGGGCCCCCGGACCAAAAUUGCCUAAUAUUUUGUCGAGACAUAAAAUACGACCUAAGGAACCAUGGUCACCGCCCCGCCAUGACCAAAUUACUUUUUUGGCAUUUUACGGCCAUAAAACUAGAAUUCUGCUCGAUUCUCAUAUUUUCGUGUGCUAUAGCCCACGCCUUCCGCCAUGGGCCCGUGCCCCCAGACCAGGAUCGACUAAUAUUUUUUUGGGACACCAAAUAUGACCUAAAGAACCAUGGUCACCCACCCGCAAUGACCAAAUUACAUUUUUUGGCAUUUUACAGUAAUAAAACUAGAAUUCCGCCUGAUUCCCAUAUUUUCGUGUGCUAUAGCCCACGCCUUCCGUCGUGGGCCCGGGCCUCCGGACCAAUAUUGCCUAAUAUUUUUUCGGGAAGUCAAAUACAACUAAACGAACCAUAGUCACUAUCCCACCAUGAACAAAUUACAUUUUUAGUGCUUUACGGCCAUAAAGCUGGGAUUUCGCCGGAUUCUCAUAUUUUUGUGUGCUAUAACCCAUGCCUUCUGCUGUGGGCCCAGGCGACCAGACCAGAAUCGCAUAAUAUUUUUUCGGGACAUCGAAUACGACCUAAGCAAACAUGGUCACCGCCCCUCCAUGACCAAACUACAUUUUUGGCAUUUUAAGGCCAUAAAAUUGGAAUUCCACCUGAUUCCCAUAAUUUCGUGUGUUAUAGCCCACGCCUUCCGUUAUUGGCCCGGGCCCCCUGGACCAAGAUCGCCUAAUAUUUUUUGAGGGCAUCAAAUACGACCUAAGGAACCGUGGCCACUGCCACUCCAUGACCGAAUUACAUUUUAUAGUGCUUUACUAUGAUAAAACUAGAAUUCCGCACGAUUCUCAUAUUUUCAUGUGCUAUAGCCCUCGCCUUCCACCGUGGGCCCAGGCCCCCUGACCCGGAUCACCUAAUAUUUUUUCGAGACAUCAAAUAUGAUCUAAGGAACCUUGGUCACCGCCCCUCCAUGACCAAAUUACAUUUUUUGGCAUUUUACGGCAAUAAAAGUGGAAUUCUGCUCGAUUCCUAUAUUUUCGUGUGUUACGCUUUCCGCCGUGGGUCCGGGCCCCCGCACCAGAAUCGCAUAAUAUUUAUUUGGGACUUCAAAUACAACUUAAUAAACCAUGGUAACCGCCCCUCCAUGAUCAAAUUAUAUUUUUUUGGCGUUUUACGGCGAUAAAACUGGAAUUUCGCCGUGGACCCGAGCCCCCGGAUCCGGAUUGCCUAAUAUUUUUUUUGGGACAUAAAAUACGACGUAAGGAACCAUGGUCUCUGCCCCGCAUGAUCAAAUUACAUUUUUUGGCAUUUUACGGCCAUAAAACUGGAAUUCCGCUU
RNAcentral lists this long non-coding RNA (2802 nucleotides) under Nicotiana tabacum (common tobacco). RNAcentral describes it as "long non-coding RNA (NTAB_LNC006656)". Lineage: Eukaryota; Viridiplantae; Streptophyta; Magnoliopsida; Solanales; Solanaceae. The record is from RNAcentral.